Molecule: small nucleolar RNA, 137 nt
Filed under: Dasypus novemcinctus (nine-banded armadillo)
Lineage: Eukaryota; Metazoa; Chordata; Mammalia; Cingulata; Dasypodidae
Description: Small nucleolar RNA SNORA31 (ENSDNOG00000029634.1)
Rfam family: Small nucleolar RNA SNORA31
About the family: ACA31 (SNORA31) belongs to the H/ACA class of snoRNAs which are thought to guide the sites of modification of uridines to pseudouridines. ACA31 is predicted to guide the pseudouridylation of U3713 in 28S rRNA and U218 in 18S rRNA.
Source: RNAcentral
AUGCAUCUCUGACAGACCUGGAGCAGUUAAUGUCUGCUGCUAAGGUUUCCACUAUAGAUGCAAAGAAAAGAAGGUCCUCAUGCUUGUUUUCUGUCUGUCUGGUUGUGGCAGCCAAGACUGAAUGGGAGAAUACAGGA